GAUCCGCUUAGCGGGUCGGGCCCCUGAGUGGUUUUGAGGGCCAUUUUGGGAGCCAUUUGGGAGCCGAGUUCGGGGUCUGGCUCCCGGGCGGCUCCC
This 96-nucleotide transfer RNA is filed under the name Streptomyces lucensis JCM 4490. RNAcentral describes it as "tRNA-Ser". Lineage: Bacteria; Bacillati; Actinomycetota; Actinomycetes; Kitasatosporales; Streptomycetaceae. The record is from RNAcentral.